AUACGGAGGAUCCGAGCGUUAUCCGGAUUUAUUGGGUUUAAAGGGUGCGCAGGCGGCCAUUUAAGUCAGCGGUUAAAUCGUGGGGCUCAACCCCAUUCUGCCGUUGAUACUGGGUGGCUUGAUUGCGGUCGAGGUUGGCGGAAUUCGUUGUGUAGCGGUGAAAUGCAUAGAUAUGACGAAGAACACCGAUUGCGUAGGCAGCUGACCAGACCGCAAAUGACGCUCAUGCACGAAAGUGCGGGGAUCGAACAGGAUUAGAUACCCUGGUAGUCCGCACAGUAAACGAUGAAUACUUAUUUUCGGCGAUAUAAUGUCGGAGGCAAAGCGAAAGCGAUAAGUAUUCCACCUGGUGAGUACGCCGGCAACGGUGAAACUCAAAGGAAUUGACUUGG
RNAcentral lists this ribosomal RNA (392 nucleotides) under uncultured bacterium. RNAcentral's name for it is "partial 16S ribosomal RNA". It matches the Rfam family "Bacterial small subunit ribosomal RNA", at positions 523 to 918 of the family's 1533-position model. The record is from RNAcentral.